UACGUAGGGUGCGAGCGUUGUCCGGAAUUAUUGGGCGUAAAGAGCUUGUAGGUGGUUUGUCGCGUCUGCUGUGAAAAUCCGAGGCUCAACCUCGGACUUGCAGUGGGUACGGGCAGACUAGAGUGUGGUAGGGGAGACUGGAAUUCCUGGUGUAGCGGUGAAAUGCGCAGAUAUCAGGAAGAACACCCGUGGCUAAGGCGGCUCUCUAGUACGGUACUGACGCUGAGACGCGAAAGCGUGGGGAGCGAACAGG
Molecule: ribosomal RNA, 253 nt
Filed under: uncultured bacterium
Lineage: Bacteria
Description: partial 16S ribosomal RNA
Rfam family: Bacterial small subunit ribosomal RNA
Source: RNAcentral